GCACUAGUAUCUCAGCUUUCAAAGCGUCG
RNAcentral lists this transfer RNA (29 nucleotides) under Xiphophorus xiphidium (swordtail platyfish). RNAcentral describes it as "partial tRNA-Thr". The record is from RNAcentral. Lineage: Eukaryota; Metazoa; Chordata; Actinopteri; Cyprinodontiformes; Poeciliidae.